Molecule: RNA transcript, 927 nt
Organism: Leptonychotes weddellii (Weddell seal)
Lineage: Eukaryota; Metazoa; Chordata; Mammalia; Carnivora; Phocidae
Gene: XTBD1
Gene name: XRN2 binding domain containing 1
Source: RefSeq, a predicted model, not a curated record
GGCGGCGGGCGGGUGCGGCCUUCGGCGGCGGAGGGCGCCAUGGUGGGUGGCGAGGCGGCCGCCGCGGUGGAGGAGCUAGUUUCGGGGGUGCGGCAGGCGGCCGACUUCGCGGAGCAGUUCCGCUCCUACUCGGAGAGCGAGAAGCAAUGGAAGGCUCGCAUGGAAUUCAUUCUGCGCCACUUGCCCGACUACCGCGACCCGCCCGAUGGCGGUGGCCGCCUGGACCAGCUGCUGUCCCUCUCCAUGGUGUGGGCCAACCACCUCUUCCUGGGUUGCAGUUACAACAAAGACCUUUUAGACAAAGUGAUGGAAAUGGCUGAUGGGAUUGAAGUGGAAGACCUGCCACAGUUUACUACCAGGAGUGAAUUAAUGAAAAAGUGUCAGCCUCCAGAGAAGAGUCCUCAGGCACAAACCUGGUAUCCCUGAAAGCAGCUCUGCCAUCAGACUAGUCACACUCACCUAGCUACCUGGAAGAAGCCUGCGGGGAGCCUCUACUUCUAGAGCACUUGCGGAUUGUGUGUGUUCCGGCUUCCUUUCAAUAAAACCAUCAAAGCUGAGGCAGAAGAUUCAUCACAUUUUCCAGCAUCAGCUACAGGCUUAGGAAGGAGGCUGGGAUGAAUGUGACAUGGACCACAGCAGCUCUCUUAAGAUUCCUGGUAUUUCCAACAUGUAGGAAAGAGGCAGUUGGAAUGACAAUCUUGUCUAGUUUGGAGUUUUAAAAGGUCUCAUUCUUCCAGUAGCUAUCAUUGUAAAAGUGUGCAUGGAUAUUUAUGUAUUUAUAAAUCAUGCCCUCUUUUUUUUAUUUUCACUUUUUGAAUGUCAAACUUUUUGUUAAAAAUGCCUAUUUUUUUUUUUUAUGUUGUUGUAAUAAUUGCCGGUAGUGAAUUUUACAAUUUGGAUUUUUCAAUAAUGUAUUUUCAAGUCUGA